UGACGAGUGGCGGACGGGUGAGUAAUGCUUGGGAACAUGCCUUUGUGAGGGGGAUAACCGUUGGAAACGACGGCUAAUACCGCAUAAUGUCUACGGACCAAAGGGGGCUUCGGCUCUCACGCAAAGAGUGGCCCAAGUGAGAUUAGCUUGUUGGUGAGGUAAAGGCUCACCAAGGCGACGAUCUCUAGCUGUUCUGAGAGGAAGAUCAGCCACACUGGGACUGAGACACGGCCCAGACUCCUACGGGAGGCAGCAGUGGGGAAUAUUGCACAAUGGGGGAAACCCUGAUGCAGCCAUGCCGCGUGUGUGAAGAAGGCCUUCGGGUUGUAAAGCACUUUCAGUUGUGAGGAAAGGUGUGUGGUUAAUACCCGCAUACUGUGACGUUAACAACAGAAGAAGCACCGGCUAACUCCGUGCCAGCAGCCGCGGUAAUACGGAGGGUGCGAGCGUUAAUCGGAAUUACUGGGCGUAAAGCGCACGCAGGCGGAAUGUUAAGCUAGAAGUGAAAGCCCUGGGCUCAACCUGGGAAGGCCUUUUAGAACUGGCAUUCUAGAGUUUUGGAGAGGGGAGUGGAAUUCCACGUGUAGCGGUGAAAUGCGUAGAUAUGUGGAGGAACAUCAGUGGCGAAGGCGACUCUCUGGCCAAAGACUGACGCUCAUGUGCGAAAGUGUGGGUAGCGAACAGGAUUAGAUACCCUGGUAGUCCACACCGUAAACGCUGUCUACUAGCUGUGUGUGAUUUUAAAUUGUGCGUAGCGAAGCAAACGCGCUAAGUAGACCGCCUGGGGAGUACGGCCGCAAGGUUAAAACUCAAAUGAAUUGACGGGGGCCCGCACAAGCGGUGGAGCAUGUGGUUUAAUUCGAUGCAACGCGAAGAACCUUACCAGGACUUGACAU
RNAcentral lists this ribosomal RNA (896 nucleotides) under uncultured bacterium. Its description in RNAcentral is "bacterial SSU rRNA". It matches the Rfam family "Bacterial small subunit ribosomal RNA", at positions 89 to 987 of the family's 1533-position model. The record is from RNAcentral.